UACGGGGGGAGCAAGCGUUGUUCGGAUUUACUGGGCGUAAAGGGCGCGUAGGCGGCCACCGCAAGUCGACUGUGAAAUCUCCGGGCUUAACCCGGAAAGGUCAGCCGAUACUGCGGGGCUAGAGUGCAGAAGGGGCAACUGGAAUUCUCGGUGUAGCGGUGAAAUGCGUAGAUAUCAGGAAGAACACCUAUGGCGAAGGCAGCUCUCUGGGACGGUACUGACGCUGAGACGCGAAAGCGUGGGGAGCAAACAGG
This 254-nucleotide ribosomal RNA is filed under the name uncultured bacterium. RNAcentral describes it as "partial 16S ribosomal RNA". It matches the Rfam family "Bacterial small subunit ribosomal RNA", at positions 524 to 776 of the family's 1533-position model. The record is from RNAcentral.